This 238-nucleotide ribosomal RNA is filed under the name uncultured bacterium. RNAcentral describes it as "partial 16S ribosomal RNA". It matches the Rfam family "Bacterial small subunit ribosomal RNA", at positions 96 to 334 of the family's 1533-position model. The record is from RNAcentral.
CGGCGGACGGGUGAGUAACGCGUGGGUAACCUGCCUCAUACAGGGGGAUAACAGUUGGAAACGGCUGCUAAUACCGCAUAAGCGCACAGUACCGCAUGGUACGGUGUGAAAAACUCCGGUGGUAUGAGAUGGACCCGCGUCUGAUUAGGUAGUUGGCGGGGUAACGGCCCACCAAAGCGACGAUCAGUAGCCGACCUGAGAGGGUGACCGGCCACAUUGGGACUGAGACACGGCCCAA